GAUGAACGCUGGCGGCGUGCCUAACACAUGCAAGUCGAGCGAUUCUCUUCGGAGAAGAGCGGCGGACGGGUGAGUAACGCGUGGGUAACCUGCCUUGUACACACGGAUAACAUACCGAAAGGUAUGCUAAUACGAGAUAAUAUGCUUUUAUCGCAUGGUAGAAGUAUCAAAGCUUUUGCGGUACAGGAUGGACCCGCGUCUGAUUAGCUAGUUGGUAAGGUAACGGCUUACCAAGGCGACGACCAGUAGCCGACCUGAGAGGGUGAUCGGCCACAUUGGAACUGGGACACGGUCCAAACUCCUACGGGAGGCAGCAGUGGGGAAUAUUGCACAAUGGGCGAAAGCCUGAUGCAGCAACGCCGCGUGAGCGAUGAAGGCCUUCGGGUCGUAAAGCUCUGUCCUCAAGGAAGAUAAUGACGGUACUUGAGGAGGAAGCCCCGGCUAACUACGUGCCAGCCGCCGCAGUAA
RNAcentral lists this ribosomal RNA (468 nucleotides) under uncultured bacterium. Its description in RNAcentral is "partial 16S ribosomal RNA". It matches the Rfam family "Bacterial small subunit ribosomal RNA", at positions 28 to 523 of the family's 1533-position model. The record is from RNAcentral.